GACGUAGGUGGCGAACGUUAUCCGGAAUCAUUGGGCGUAAAGGGUGCGUAGAUGGCCUGAUAAGUUAGCAGUGGGAAAUCGAGGCUCAACCUCGUGGAAGCUGGUAAUACUGUUAGGCUCGAGUGCAGGAGAAGUUAACGGAACUCCAUGUGGAGCGGUAAAAUGUGUAGAUAUAUGGAAGAACAUCAAUAACGGCGAAGGCAGUUAACUAUUCUGUUACUGACGUUGGGGCACGAAAGCGUGGGGAGCAAAACGG
RNAcentral lists this ribosomal RNA (256 nucleotides) under uncultured bacterium. Its description in RNAcentral is "partial 16S ribosomal RNA". It matches the Rfam family "Bacterial small subunit ribosomal RNA", at positions 524 to 776 of the family's 1533-position model. The record is from RNAcentral.